Molecule: long non-coding RNA, 2118 nt
Organism: Cyprinus carpio carpio
Lineage: Eukaryota; Metazoa; Chordata; Actinopteri; Cypriniformes; Cyprinidae
Source: Ensembl
GUUGUAAGACUGUCUAUCUAAAUGAAUAAUUCUUAUAACGAUCCAUCAGUUAAAUCAUCAGUUGAAUCUGUACAGAUGUUCCAUGUUAUCAAUGAAGUAAUAUCUGAAGGUAAUCCAUUUUAUCUAUGCAACACACUGAAAUGAGAAUUGUAUCACUGUAUUUUCUGUUCUGUUUUUGUGUCCAUACCAUGUGAGCACUAUCCUGAGAUUCCAAGAUGGUCAGCGUCCGGUCGAUCCAGCCUCGAAUUCAAACAAGUGAUCAUCAUUCAAAAUCCUACAUCUCCCAUAAUUGCUCUUCUUUCUUGAGCUAGUAAGCUUCAUCCAGCCAAGUCAUAUUCUAAGCCAUCCAAACAAUAAUGGAUGCUUCCAAACAUCAUAGGAAGCAUCCACAAAGACUGCCUGCAUCCAUCAAUUUGUCUCCUGAUAUCACAAAUAAGUAAAUAGAACAACACAAAUUGUAAGUUGAGGUUUGUGCAUCAAAUCUCAAUAUCUACUGUCCACUACUCUCAAAAGAUUUCUGCAAUAUGCUACACUUCAAACUUCCCUCUCCAUUAUAUGAUUCUCCGCUCCAGAUCUGUUUUUAUAAAACGGCACAAAACCGAUAAGAAGGUUUGUGCAUCAAAACCCAAUAUCUACUGUCCAAUCUACUCUCAAAACAUUUCUGCAAUAUGCUACAUGUGAAACUUCCUUGUCCGAUAUUUCAUUCUCUAUGCCAUGAACUGUUUUUAUGAAGAGGCACAUAACCGAUAAAAAGGUUUGUGCAUCAAAACCCAAUAUCUACAGUCCACAACUAUCAAAAGAUUUCUGCAAUACGCUACACUUCAAACUUCCCUCUCCAUUAUAUGAUUCUAAGCUUCAUGAUCUGUUUCUAUGAAGCGGCACAAAACCGAUAAAAAGGUUUGUGCAUUAAAGCUCAAUCUCUAUGGUCCACUACUCUUAAAAGUUGAUUCUCUAUGCCAUGAACUUUUAUGAAGAGGCACACAACCAAUAAAAAGGUUUGUUCAUCAAAACUAAAUAUCUAUUGUCCCCUACUCUCAAAAGAUUUCUGCAAUACGCUACUUCAAACUUCCCUCUCCAUUAUAUGAUUCUCUACACCAUUUACUGUUUCCAUGAAGAGGCACACAACCGAUUAAAAAGGUUUGUGCAUCACUAUUAAAUAUCUACUGUCCACAACUAUCAAAAAGAUUUCUGCAAUAUGCUACACUUCAAACUUCCUUCUCCAUUAUAUGAUUCUCUGCUCCAUUAACUAUUUUUAUGAAGCAGCACAAAUCUGUUUAAGAAGGUUUGUGCAUCAAAACUCAAUAUCUACUGUCCACUACUCCCAGAAGAUUUCUGCAAUACACUACACUUCAAACUUCCUUCUCCAUUAUAUGAUUCUCCGCUCCAUGAAUUGUUUUUGAAGCAGCACAAAACCAAAAGAAAGGUUUGUGCAUCAAAACCCAAUAUCUACUGUCCACUACUAUCAAAAGAUUUCUGCAAUACGCUACAUGUGAAACUUCCUCCUUAUGCUUUAUUUGAUUCUCCACUCCAUGAACUGUUUUUAUGAAGCAGCACAAAACCAAUAAAAAGGUUUGUGCAUCAAAACUCAAUAUCUACUGUCCACUACUCCCAAAAGGUUUCUGCAAUGCGCUACACUUCAAACUUCCUUCUCCAUUAUGAUUCUCCAGUCCAUGAACUGUUUUUAUGAAGCACACAACCGAUAAAAAUAAAAGUGAAUACAAAACCAUUGUUCAAAUAUCUUCAGAAAAUGUCCCAGCAAAACUCUAAACUGAUGCAGGCAUUCAAUAGUCAAAGUUAUUAAACAAAUGAAUAACCGCAAAAGUAACACAAUUAUAUAUUAAAUAUUGGAUGGAUGGCUUGUAUUAUAUUAAAGGCUAUGUACAGCAAAUUUAGAUGCCAGCCAAAGGAGGAUGGCUUGCCCCUGCUGAGUCUGGUUCCUCCCAAGGUUUCUCCCUAUACCUCUCUGCUGAUGAUGCUUCUCUUCACUAAUUUAGGGAGUUUUUCCUUGCCACUGUUGCCUUCUGGCUUGCUCACUGGGGUAUUAAGGCACAAUAUUUUCAAUGUAUACUGUGUAAAGUGUUUGUAAAGAAUAAUAAAUACAUGAUGAUUUAGAAUAUA